ACCACGGAGGGUUUGAUCCUGGCUCAGAACGAACGUUGGCGGCGUGGAUUAGGCAUGCAAGUCGCGCGAGAACGUCACCUUCGGGUGGCUAGUACAGCGGCGAACGGGUGAGUAACACGUGGGGAAUCUGCCCUCGAGUUGGGAAUAACACUCCUAACGGGGUGCUAAUACCGAAUAACACGGCCUGGCCGCAUGACCGGGUCGUCAAAGCUGGCCUCUGCUUGCAAGCUGGCGCUCGAGGAUGAUCCCGCGCCCCAUUAGCUAGUUGGUGAGGUAACGGCCCACCAAGGCUCCGAUGGGUAGCUGGUCUGAGAGGAUGGUCAGCCACACUGGGACUGAGACACGGCCCAGACUCCUACGGGAGGCAGCAGUCGAGAGGCUUCGGCAAUGGGCGAAAGCCUGACCGAGCGACGCCGCGUGAGGGAUGAAGGUCGUAAGAUCGUAAACCUCUGUCGGGGGGGAAGAACCACCGGGUGCGAAUACCACUUCGGUCUGACGUUACCCCCGAAGGAAGCUCCGGCUAACUCCGUGCCAGCAGCCGCGGUAACACGGGGGGAGCAAACGUUGUUCGGAAUCACUGGGCGUAAAGGGCGCGCAGGCGGCCCGGCAAGUGAGACGUGAAAGGCUCUGGCUCAACCAGGGAACUGCGUCUCAUACUGCCGGGCUUGAGGACGGGAGAGGAGACGGGAAUUCUCGGUGUAGCGGUGAAAUGCACUGAUAUCGGGAAGAACACCAGUGGCGAAGGCGCGUCUCUGGCCCGUUCCUGACGCUCAGGCGCGAAAGCUGGGGGAGCAAACAGGAUUAGAGACCCUGGUAGUCCCAGCUGUAAACGGUGGGCACUAGGUGUGGGAGGCAUCGACCCCUUCCGUGCCGCAGCUAACGCAUUAAGUGCCCCGCCUGGGGAGUACGACCGCAAGGUUGAAACUCAAAGGAAUUGACGGGGGCCCGCACAAGCGGUGGAGCAUGUGGUUUAAUUCGAUGCAACGCGAAGAACCUUACCUGGGCUUGACAUGCACCGGACGGGUGUGGAAACACACUUUCCCUUCGGGGUCGGUGCACAGGUGCUGCAUGGCUGUCGUCAGCUCGUGUCGUGAGAUGUUGGGUUAAGUCCCGCAACGAGCGCAACCCUUGCCCUUAGUUGCCAGCACUUCGGGUGGGCACUCUAGGGGGACUGCCGCCGAUGAGGCGGAGGAAGGUGGGGAUGACGUCAAGUCCUCAUGGUCCUUAUGUCCAGGGCUACACACGUGCUACAAUGGCCGGUACAGUGGGUUGCGAUACCGCGAGGUGGAGCCAAUCCUCAAAGCCGGUCUCAGUUCGGAUUGUAGUCUGCAACUCGACUACAUGAAGCCGGAAUCGCUAGUAAUCGCUGAUCAGCAGGCAGCGGUGAAUAUGUUCCCGGGCCUUGUACACACCGCCCGUCAAGCCACGAAAGUCGGCAGUACCCGAAGUCACUGGCCCAACCGCAAGGAGGGAAGUGCCUAAGGUAAGGCCGGCGAUUGGGGCUAAGUCGUAACAAGGUAGCCGUACCGGAAGGUGCGGCUGGAUCACCUCCUUU
RNAcentral lists this ribosomal RNA (1555 nucleotides) under Candidatus Eiseniibacteriota bacterium. Its description in RNAcentral is "bacterial SSU rRNA". It matches the Rfam family "Bacterial small subunit ribosomal RNA". The record is from RNAcentral. Lineage: Bacteria; Candidatus Eiseniibacteriota.